Molecule: ribosomal RNA, 253 nt
Filed under: uncultured bacterium
Lineage: Bacteria
Description: partial 16S ribosomal RNA
Rfam family: Bacterial small subunit ribosomal RNA
Source: RNAcentral
UACGUAGGGUGCGAGCGUUGUCCGGAAUUAUUGGGCGUAAAGGGCUCGUAGGCGGUUUGUCGCGUCGAAUGUGAAAACCCGGGGCUCAACCCCGGGCCUGCAUUCGAUACGGGCAGACUAGAGUUCGGUAGGGGAGUCUGGAAUUCCUGGUGUAGCGGUGAAAUGCGCAGAUAUCAGGAGGAACACCGGUGGCGAAGGCGGGACUCUGGGCCGAUACUGACGCUGAGGAGCGAAAGCGUGGGGAGCGAACAGG